Molecule: non-coding RNA, 96 nt
Organism: Picea glauca (white spruce)
Lineage: Eukaryota; Viridiplantae; Streptophyta; Pinopsida; Pinales; Pinaceae
Source: Rfam
CCGACCUUAGCUCAGUUGGUAGAGCGGAGGACUGUAGUGGGAGCAAAUAUCCCGAAUGCCAUCCUUAGGUCGCUGGUUCGAAUCCGGCAGGUCGGA